GCUCUUUUAGCUCAGUUGGUAGAGCGUUGCACUUGUAAUGCAAAGGUCACUAGUUCGACUCUGGUAGGGAGCA
This is a transfer RNA of 73 nucleotides. It matches the Rfam family "tRNA". From Rfam's summary of the family: Transfer RNA (tRNA) molecules are approximately 80 nucleotides in length. Their secondary structure includes four short double-helical elements and three loops (D, anti-codon, and T loops). The record is from Rfam.